UGGGGGAUAUUGCACAAUGGGCGAAAGCCUGAUGCAGCGACUCCGCGUGGGGGAUGAAGGCCUUCGGGUUGUAAACUUCUUUUGCUCUGAACAAGGCAUGCCGUUGGGGUGUGUUGAGUGUAGGGGUUGAUUAGCGCCGGCUAACUACGUGCCAGCAGCCGCGGUAAUACGUAGGGCGCGAGCGUUGUCCGGAAUUAUUGGGCGUAAAGGGCUUGUAGGUGGCUGGUUGCGUCUGUCGUGAAAGCUCAUGGCUUAACUGUGGGUUUGCGGUGGGUACGGGCUGGCUUGAGUGCAGUAGGGGAGGCUGGAAUUCCUGGUGUAGCGGUGGAAUGCGCAGAUAUCAGGAGGAAUACCGGUGGCGAAGGCGGGUCUCUGGGCUGUUACUGACGCUGAGGAGCGAAAGCGUGGGGAGCGAACAGG
Molecule: ribosomal RNA, 420 nt
Filed under: Fusobacteriota bacterium
Lineage: Bacteria; Fusobacteriati; Fusobacteriota
Description: Fusobacteria bacterium partial 16S ribosomal RNA
Rfam family: Bacterial small subunit ribosomal RNA
Source: RNAcentral